This is a long non-coding RNA of Cynoglossus semilaevis (tongue sole), 735 nucleotides long. RefSeq lists it as uncharacterized. The record is from RefSeq and is a predicted model, not a curated record. NCBI's taxonomy places the organism in Eukaryota, Metazoa, Chordata, Actinopteri, Pleuronectiformes, Cynoglossidae. The transcript has 4 exons.
AUAGGAAUACGCUGUACAGUCCUUAUUUCCGGUUGCAGUUCCGGCCCACGAGACACGAGUGUUAGCCGUUUGGGCUUCCAGCGGGCGUUAAAGUCCAAAAACUGGGCACGGUGGCUACAUGUGAUUGAUUAAAAUGAACACAUAGAAGUCCUGAAGAAAGCUGAGGAGACUUCUAUGAUUCACAUCAACUACAUCCAGACCUCACCAUGUUCAGCAGUGCUUCAAAGGACAACACUGCCAAGGUUCUUCCACGCUGUGUACGAGGAGGGGUUUGGCAGGAGUCAAAGGUCAUUUUGGUUCCGUCAAUUGUGUGGCUUUCCACCCUGACGGCAAGAGAUGUAAUGGAGGAGAAGACUUGAGAACACAGCAGCUUGGACUCUGCCAGGAAGAGUGAAGGAGCAACUUUAUUUGAAGCAGAUCACUUGUUUGCUGGACUGGUGAGUAUUUUACUGAAACGUUUUGGCAACAGAUAGUCUUUUUAGAUCACUUGUUUGCUAGACUUGAGUAUUUUACUGAAAGUUUCUGUCAUUGACAGAAACUUUCAGUAAAAUACUUAAAGAUACUUAAUGCUCACUUUUUUGCAACUGUUUUUUUUUUUUUUGCACUUAGUAUUUAUUUUAGCUUUUGCACUUCAUUGUUAGAUAUUUAACACACUUUCCAGAGGAAAAAUUGUACUUUCAUUGUGAUCUGUAUUUGAUUGUUGUAAACCUUCCUGAAUAAAGAAAGUUGUUGGAA